AUUUCUAGGCAGUCCUGAGUGAACUGGCUUGUUAGAAUAUAUUUGUGCCCCUGUCUCAACAGAACUUGCUGGACCACCAGUAUCGUUGUUGUGGCCACUCCCUGAUGCAUUCUGAAGCCUGAUGUAUGUGGAGGAUUUUUUUUUUAUGUAUUAAUCACUUAUAAUAUUCCUCCCUGUUCCUUCACUUUGUUCUUGUUUUUCCAGUUAGAUACACACAUUUACACACACAUACACAUCUUGUUGUCUCACUCAGUAUUUUUAUUAAACAAUAUUUGAUUCAUU
Molecule: long non-coding RNA, 282 nt
Organism: Alosa alosa (allis shad)
Lineage: Eukaryota; Metazoa; Chordata; Actinopteri; Clupeiformes; Clupeidae
Exons: 2
Source: RefSeq, a predicted model, not a curated record